RNAcentral lists this ribosomal RNA (253 nucleotides) under uncultured bacterium. RNAcentral describes it as "partial 16S ribosomal RNA". It matches the Rfam family "Bacterial small subunit ribosomal RNA", at positions 524 to 776 of the family's 1533-position model. The record is from RNAcentral.
GACGUAGGGGGCAAGCGUUGUUCGGAAUUAUUGGGCGUAAAGCGCUCGUAGGCGGGACAGGAAGUUCGUGUUGAAAGACCUCGGCUCAACUGAGGGACCGGCUCGAAUACUCUUGUUCUUGAGGCAAUCAGAGGGUGAUGGAAUUCCCGGUGUAGCGGUGAAAUGCGUAGAUAUCAUUUGGAACGCCAAUGGCGAAAGCAGGCAACUGGGGCUGUACCGACGCUGAGACACGAAAGCCAGGGGAGCGAACGGG